RNAcentral lists this ribosomal RNA (798 nucleotides) under uncultured Bacteroidota bacterium. RNAcentral's name for it is "bacterial SSU rRNA". It matches the Rfam family "Bacterial small subunit ribosomal RNA", at positions 28 to 822 of the family's 1533-position model. The record is from RNAcentral. Lineage: Bacteria; Pseudomonadati; Bacteroidota.
GAUGAACGCUAGCGGCAGGCCUAAUACAUGCAAGUCGAACGGUAACAUGAGAGCUUGCUCUUGAUGACGAGUGGCGCACGGGUGCGUAACGCGUAUGCAACCUACCCUUAACUGGGGGAUAGCCCGGAGAAAUUCGGAUUAAUACCCCAUAGUACAAUGAGAUAGCAUUUGAUUAUUGUUAAAGCUUCGGUGGUUAAGGAUGGGCAUGCGUUAGAUUAGCUAGUUGGUAAGGUAACGGCUUACCAAGGCAACGAUCUAUAGGGGGUCUGAGAGGAUGAUCCCCCACACUGGAACUGAGACACGGUCCAGACUCCUACGGGAGGCAGCAGUAGGGAAUAUUGGUCAAUGGAGGCAACUCUGAACCAGCCAUGCCGCGUGCAGGAAGACGGCCUUCUGGGUUGUAAACUGCUUUUAUUAGGGAAGAAACGCCUCAUGCGUGAGGAACUGACGGUACCUAAAGAAUAAGCACCGGCUAACUCCGUGCCAGCAGCCGCGGUAAUACGGAGGGUGCAAGCGUUGUCCGGAUUUAUUGGGUUUAAAGGGUGCGUAGGCGGUCUUUUAAGUCAGAGGUGAAAUCCCACAGCUUAACUGUGGAACUGCCUUUGAAACUGGAAGACUUGAGUAUAGUUGAGGUAGGCGGAAUUUAUGAUGUAGCGGUGAAAUGCAUAGAUAUCAUAAAGAACACCGAUUGCGAAGGCAGCUUACUGGACUAUAACUGACGCUGAGGCACGAAAGCAUGGGGAGCGAACAGGAUUAGAUACCCUGGUAGUCCAUGCCGUAAACGAUGAUCACUCGAUG